UUUAUAAUUGUAGAUGUUAUUAAAUUGAUUCUGUCCUUUGAUUUAAUUUUUGUUCCAGUUUCCCAGCUAUGUAUGCGUUUGCAGAAUGUUAGUAGAGAAUAAUUAUCGUGGAAUAAGGUUGCCAAAUUCCAAGCCUUGAUGAACAUCACUCAUGGUUAUGGCAUCGUUCUUCACAGCUGGGUCAAUUUGUCAUCACUGUCAUCACUUAACUGAGGAGUUAACUGUCAUUAACUUUGGAAUGAACACAGAUGACAAUGCAUGAUGAGAGAAGUUUAUAAACAGAAGUUGGAAUUACAUUCUGAUGUCAAAUAUCCGUCACCAGCAAAGCCACGACAGAUUGAUGAGAGCAGCUUUUAUCUUUCAAAUAGGAUUUGUUUCCAAUACUUGCCUCUAUAAAUAUGGUUAUUAAGAUUUGAGAUCUGAUACAGAAAUAUAUAGUUUCUCCAAAAAUUGAGGAUCAAUUUUUAAAAGAAAUACCUAUAGCAAAAUAAAAAUCAUGUAUUGUAAGUAAAUGUAUAAGCCAUGAGAAGUCAGAUAAUCGCAAAUCUGUGCAACAAGAAGGAAAA
Harpegnathos saltator (Jerdon's jumping ant) is the source of this 566-nucleotide long non-coding RNA. RefSeq lists it as uncharacterized. The record is from RefSeq and is a predicted model, not a curated record. NCBI's taxonomy places the organism in Eukaryota, Metazoa, Arthropoda, Insecta, Hymenoptera, Formicidae. The transcript is spliced from 3 exons.